UGGCUGGAGGCUUACACGAUGCAAGUCGAGACGCCCCGCAAUGGGAGUGGCAUGACGGGUGAGUAACACGUGGGGAACAGUACCCUUCGGUUCGGAACGAACUGCCGGGAAAGCUUGGCUGCUAAAUACCGGAGUACGUGCAUUGGAGGGCGAAAGAUUCAUCGCCGAAGGAUUGGCCCGCGUUCGAUUAGCUUGUUGGUGAGGUAACGGACUCACCAAGUGCGACGAUCGAUAGCUGGUCUGAGAGGAUGGCCAGCCACAUUGGGACUGAGACACGGCACCAAACUCCUACGGGAGUGCAGCAGUGGGGAAUAUUGGACAAUGGGCGCAAGCCUGAUCCAGCCAUGCCGACGUGAGUGAUGACGGCCUUAAGGGUUUGUAAAGCUCUUUCGAACAGCGAAAGAUAAUGACGGUAAGCGUGAGAACGAAGGCCCACGGCUAAACUUCGUUGACCAAGCAAGGCCGCAGGAUAUCACGAAG
RNAcentral lists this ribosomal RNA (480 nucleotides) under uncultured bacterium. Its description in RNAcentral is "bacterial SSU rRNA". It matches the Rfam family "Bacterial small subunit ribosomal RNA", at positions 37 to 530 of the family's 1533-position model. The record is from RNAcentral.